AGAGUGAACGCUGGCGGCAGGCCUAACACAUGCAAGUCGAACGGCAGCACAGCCCCGCAAGGGGUGGGUGGCGAGUGGCGGACGGGUGAGGAAUACAUCGGAAUCUACCCUGUCGUGGGGGAUAACGUAGGGAAACUUACGCUAAUACCGCAUACGACCCACGGGUGAAAGCGGCGGACCGCAAGGCGUCGCGCGAUUGGAUGAGCCGAUGUCCGAUUAGCUAGUUGGCGGGUAAAGCCCACCAAGGCGACGAUCGGUAGCUGGUCUGAGAGGAUGAUCAGCCACACUAGGAACUGAAGACACCGGUCCAAGACCUCCGUACGGGAGGCAGCAGGUGGGGAAUUAGUAGAACAAGUGGGACGAAAGCCUAGACUCCAAGCG
Molecule: ribosomal RNA, 381 nt
Filed under: uncultured soil bacterium
Lineage: Bacteria
Description: bacterial SSU rRNA
Rfam family: Bacterial small subunit ribosomal RNA
Source: RNAcentral